This 458-nucleotide ribosomal RNA is filed under the name uncultured bacterium. RNAcentral describes it as "partial 16S ribosomal RNA". It matches the Rfam family "Bacterial small subunit ribosomal RNA", at positions 338 to 795 of the family's 1533-position model. The record is from RNAcentral.
CCUACGGGGGGCAGCAGUGAGGAAUAUUGGUCAAUGGGCGAGAGCCUGAACCAGCCAAGUCGCGUGAGGGAGUACUGCCCUAUGGGUUGUAAACCUCUGUUGUCGGGGAGCAAAAGCCGGACGUGUCCGGCUGUGAGAGUACCCGAAGAAAAAGCAUCGGCUAACUCCGUGCCAGCAGCCGCGGUAAUACGGGGGAUGCGAGCGUUAUCGGGAUUUAUUGGGUUAAAGGGGUGCGCAGGCGGAUUUUUAAGUCAGCGGUAAAAUCGUGGGGCUCAACCCCAUCCAGCCGUUGAAACUGGGGAUCUAGAGGGUGCGAGAGGUAUGCGGAAUGCGUGGUGUAGCGGUGAAAUGCAUAGAUAUCACGCAGAACCCCGAUUGCGAAGGCAGCAUACCGGUGCACAACUGACGCUCAGGCACGAAAGCGUGGGUAUCGAACAGGAUUAGAUACCCGGGUAGUC